This 231-nucleotide ribosomal RNA is filed under the name Azospirillum brasilense. Its description in RNAcentral is "partial 16S ribosomal RNA". The stretch from base 1 to 140 matches the Rfam family "Bacterial small subunit ribosomal RNA", at positions 1064 to 1203 of the family's 1533-position model. Lineage: Bacteria; Pseudomonadati; Pseudomonadota; Alphaproteobacteria; Rhodospirillales; Azospirillaceae. The record is from RNAcentral.
GUCGUGAGAUGUUGGGUUAAGUCCCGCAACGAGCGCAACCCCUACCGCCAGUUGCAUCAUUCAGUUGGGCACUCUGGUGGAACUGCCGGUGACAAGCCGGAAGAAAGGCCGGGGAUAACGUCAAGUCCUUCAUGGCCCUUUAUUGGGUUUGCUAAUACUCAGUGUUAUCAAUUGUCCGGUUAUCAUAUGGGUUUCUGUAUGUCGCAAGAUGGGAGCCAAUCCCCAAAAGCC